This 274-nucleotide ribosomal RNA is filed under the name uncultured bacterium. RNAcentral's name for it is "partial 16S ribosomal RNA". It matches the Rfam family "Bacterial small subunit ribosomal RNA", at positions 523 to 796 of the family's 1533-position model. The record is from RNAcentral.
AUACGGAGGGUGCAAGCGUUACUCGGAAUCACUGGGCGUAAAGCGCGCGCGGGCGGUCUUUUAAGUUGGAUGUGAAAGCCUACGGCUCAACCGUAGAACUGCAUCCAAAACUAUUAGACUAGAGUGUGGGAGAGGAAGAUGGAAUUAGUUGUGUAGGGGUAAAAUACGUAGAGAUAACUAGGAAUACCAAAAGCGAAGGCAAUCUUCUGGAACACUACUGACGCUGAGGCGCGAAAGCGUGGGGGGCAAACAGGAUUAGAAACCCUAGUAGUCC